AUUGAACGCUGGCGGCAGGCUUAACACAUGCAAGUCGAGCGGGGAAGGGUAGCUUGCUACCUAACCUAGCGGCGGACGGGUGAGUAAUGCUUAGGAAUCUGCCAUUUAGUGGGGGACAACAUUCCGAAAGGAAUGCUAAUACCGCAUACGUCCUACGGGAGAAGGCAGGGGAUCUUCGGACCUUGCGCUAAAUGAUGAGCCUAAGUCGGAUUAGCUAGUUGGUGGGGUAAAGGCCUACCAAGGCGACGAUCUGUAGCGGGUCUGAGAGGAUGAUCCGCAACACUGGGACUGAGACACGGCCCAGACUCCUACGGGAGGCAGCAGUGGGGAAUAUUGGACAAUGGGCGGAAGCCUGAUCCAGCCAUGCCGCGUGUGUGAAGAAGGCCUUAUGGUUGUAAAGCACUUUAAGCGAGGAGGAGGCUACUUAGAUUAAUACUCUAGGAUAGUGGACGUUACUCGCAGAAUAAGCACCGGCUAACUCUGUGCCAGCCGCCGCGGUAA
This 501-nucleotide ribosomal RNA is filed under the name uncultured bacterium. RNAcentral's name for it is "partial 16S ribosomal RNA". It matches the Rfam family "Bacterial small subunit ribosomal RNA", at positions 30 to 523 of the family's 1533-position model. The record is from RNAcentral.